UACGUAGGGGGCAAGCGUUGUCCGGAAUCAUUGGGCGUAAAGAGCGUGUAGGUGGCUCGGUAAGUCCGCUGUGAAAGUCCAGGGCUCAACCCUGGAAAGCCGGUGGAAACUGUCGAGCUCGAGUCCGGAAGAGGCGAGUGGAAUUCCUGGUGUAGCGGUGAAAUGCGCAGAUAUCAGGAGGAACACCAAUGGCGAAGGCAGCUCGCUGGGACGGUACUGACACUGAGACGCGAAAGCGUGGGGAGCAAACAGGAUUAGAAACCC
RNAcentral lists this ribosomal RNA (264 nucleotides) under uncultured bacterium. RNAcentral describes it as "partial 16S ribosomal RNA". It matches the Rfam family "Bacterial small subunit ribosomal RNA", at positions 524 to 787 of the family's 1533-position model. The record is from RNAcentral.